GUGAAGCCAUCAGGACCCUAGCUCUUCUUAUUUGCCUGAUGUCCUCUGUCCUUGACUCCUUGCUGGAGCUGAUCUCCCAAGUGCAUCACACCACCAAACUUCUCCUGGCCCAGCUAGAGCAUGCCAAGCCCACUGAGGCAGAGCCCAAGGAUGAGGAAGACUGUGGUGAGCAGCUCCACUCAAAGCUGAAGUCCCAGCUGCAGAGCCUGUGCCAGCUCCACCUGCAGCUUGCUCCUCAGCUCUGCCACCACAGGGAAAGCCGGUGCCAGGAACCCCUUUUCCACCAGCUGCACAGCUGGGUCACCUGGUGGCUCCUCAGCAGGUGUCAGCUCCUGAGCCCCCCCUGGGGCCAGCUCCUGCCCCACACCUGCCAUUCCCCUCUAUUACUGUUGCUCAUGCUUUGCUCUUUACUUUUGCACUUAU
This is a long non-coding RNA of Heterocephalus glaber (naked mole-rat), 423 nucleotides long. RefSeq lists it as uncharacterized. NCBI's taxonomy places the organism in Eukaryota, Metazoa, Chordata, Mammalia, Rodentia, Bathyergidae. The record is from RefSeq and is a predicted model, not a curated record.